UACGUAGGGUGCAAGCGUUGUCCGGAAUUAUUGGGCGUAAAGAGCUCGUAGGCGGUCUGUCGCGUCUGCUGUGAAAACUCGGGGCUUAACCCCGGGCCUGCAGUGGGUACGGGCAGACUAGAGUGCGGUAGGGGAGACUGGAAUUCCUGGUGUAGCGGUGAAAUGCGCAGAUAUCAGGAGGAACACCGGUGGCGAAGGCGGGUCUCUGGGCCGUAACUGACACUGAGGGACGAAAGCUAGGGGAGCGAAUGGG
RNAcentral lists this ribosomal RNA (253 nucleotides) under uncultured bacterium. RNAcentral describes it as "partial 16S ribosomal RNA". It matches the Rfam family "Bacterial small subunit ribosomal RNA", at positions 524 to 776 of the family's 1533-position model. The record is from RNAcentral.